RNAcentral lists this ribosomal RNA (497 nucleotides) under uncultured bacterium. Its description in RNAcentral is "partial 16S ribosomal RNA". It matches the Rfam family "Bacterial small subunit ribosomal RNA", at positions 28 to 507 of the family's 1533-position model. The record is from RNAcentral.
GAUGAACGCUGGCGGCGUGCCUAAUACAUGCAAGUCGAGCGAACAGACGAGGAGCUUGCUCCUCUGACGUUAGCGGCGGACGGGUGAGUAACACGUGGAUAACCUACCUAUAAGACUGGGAUAACUUCGGGAAACCGGAGCUAAUACCGGAUAAUAUAUUGAACCGCAUGGUUCAAUAGUGAAAGACGGUUUUGCUGUCCCUUAUAGAUGGAUCCGCGCCGCAUUAGCUAGUUGGUAAGGUAACGGCUUACCAAGGCAACGAUGCGUAGCCGACCUGAGAGGGUGAUCGGCCACACUGGAACUGAGACACGGUCCAGACUCCGACGGGAGGCAGCAGUAGGGAAUCUUCCGCAAUGGGCGAAAGCCUGACGGAGCAACGCCGCGUGAGUGAUGAAGGUCUUCGGAUCGUAAAACUCUGUUAUUAGGGAAGAACAAAUGUGUAAGUAACUAUGCACGUCUUGACGGUACCUAAUCAGAAAGCCACGGCUAACUACGUG